UCUCACUGGAAAAAGAAAAAAGCUUCAAAGAUCGCCAAACACCCGAUUCAGUGGAAGAACCGUGUCCCGUUGAGCUGUUUCUCUAGCCGUCUCUUAAGGUCCACUGCGGAGUGGGUCUUUUGGGACAGAAACCCAUUCACUUGGAUGCAAUUAAAUAGAGCUUAGUAGCUUCUGCUGCCAGAAACCAGAAAUGGAGUUGAUUCGGAUCUGGGAGAUGUAAGAACGUACUUCUUCCCAGGAAACUGGACUCUGGGGCAUUUGGCUGUUCCUCACAGAGACCGCAUUAUUGAGAUGGAGGGGUUUACCUUGGCACUCUAGCUUACCUAAGACUUUCAAG
Molecule: long non-coding RNA, 337 nt
Organism: Mustela erminea (ermine)
Lineage: Eukaryota; Metazoa; Chordata; Mammalia; Carnivora; Mustelidae
Exons: 3
Source: RefSeq, a predicted model, not a curated record